Clupea harengus (Atlantic herring) is the source of this 402-nucleotide long non-coding RNA. Lineage: Eukaryota; Metazoa; Chordata; Actinopteri; Clupeiformes; Clupeidae. The record is from Ensembl.
UGAAAGGGGGGUGGAAUAUGUUCAGGACACUCCAAACAUUAAAUAAAAUGUGUGAAGUAGUUGAGAUCUACGUCCCUGAAUGCUCCACAAUACUUUAAACAUAGGUGAUCAGACAGGCGAAAAUGCAUUAGCUUCAAUGGUAGGGCCAUGUGACAUGUAUCACUCUUUGCUGAAAAAACUAAAGAUUGUGUCUCAAUGAAAGGGGGGUGGAAUAUGUUCAGGACACUCCAAACAUUAAAUAAAAUGUGUGAAGUAGUUGAGAUUUACGUCCCUGAAUGCUCCACAAUACUUUAAACAUAGGCCUACACACAGGCGAAAAUGCAUUAUCUUCAAUGGCAGGGCCAUGUGACAUGUAUCACUCUUUGCUGAAAAAACUAAAGAUUGUGUCUCAAUGAAAGGGGG